GUGAGAGUUACCGGGGAGAGGAGGACACCGGGAGAAACGAGCUGCCGCUGCUGCCCCUCUGAGAUGCCAGUGAUGAGUCCUCACCGGGAAACCAGGCGCUAAAAGCUGCUGCAACCUGACCGCUGGAUGCUUGAAAGUUUUUUUUUUUUUUUUGCUUCUUUACUGGAUAAAACCACCGAGAGAGAGGGACAGGUGUCACCCGCCCGUCUCCCCCCUCUUCCUUCUCUGGUGGACUGUAUAGCACUCUACUUUUCUUGUCUUUCCUUGGUGCACAGAGCUGGACUUCUCUGAGCCAUGCUGUGGACACGGUGGCUCGUCCUGCUGCUCUGCUGGGGCACCACCGGCGGAGAGCAGCGGCCGGAUGAGAGGGACGCCGCACCGGCUGUGGGCCGGUUGGACUCCCGCAGGCAGCGCUCCCCUCCUCCGGUGGAGCCGCUGGAUUUUGGGUUCGUACCUGCGGCGGUAUAUAAUACCCACGCUUACUACGAGCCAGGGAGCAUAGGGGUCCUCUUCCACAUGGUCCACGCGUUUCUCUACGUUGUUCAACCCAACUCCUUCCCCAAAGAUCUUAUUGUUAGAGUCAUUCAGCAAAACAUGGGGGGAAUCAAAAUAGAGGAAUGGAGAAAGCCAGACAACGUCGUCCUGUUGCUACAGUGGAUCUACUACGAGGCCGGAUUCCUUGUAUGUACGACCAUCGGCGUCCUGUUUGUGGUCCUCACCCCCAUCAUAGCCACGUGUUUCUGUGUGUGUCGGUGCUGUGAGAACUGCGGAGGGGAGAUGCAUCAGAGACAGAGGAAAAACGCCGACUGUCACCGAGGUUUCUACACCGCCUCGCUCAUCGCCGCCUCUAUCUUCAUCACCAUGGGAGUACUCAUUGCUUAUGCAGCCAAUCAUAAUGUCAGCACCCAGAUCAAGGGCACUCGGCGGCUCAUCAAUACCAACCUGAGAGACCUGAAGAUAUUUGCUAACAACACACCUGCGCAAAUUGAAUACCUGACAGCCCAGUACACCACAGCAAAGAACAAAGUCCUGUCAGACCUUGACAACAUUGGACCUUUGCUGGGUGGUAGGAUCCACAGUCAGCUGGAGAAGGAUGUGAUUCCCUCUCUGGACUCUGCACUGCGUAUGGCCGGAGCAAAAGUUGAGAGUGCCAUCAAAGCGAUGCGGGAGACCAAAGAGGCUCUGGAGAAUGUCAGCUCCUCCUUGGAGGUGCUGCAAGAGGGGAUGGGGAAGCUUCAGGCCAGUCUCUCAUCAGAGCGCGCCUCUCUAUCUAACACCCUGUCUGACCCUGCCUGCACCAACGGAGCUGUGUCCCACACUUGUAACACCAUCCGCUCUACACUCGCCCAGCUAGGAAUCAGCGCUGACUAUUCCAAGCUUCCAGAUGUAAGUCAUGCUUUGGGCAAUGUUAAUACCGUCCUGAGAACAGACCUCAGCAACAUUGUACAAAAGGGUUACUCGUCCUUUAAUGACACUCCAAGACUGGUUAAAGAGCAAACUAAAAACAUUGUCUCAGCUCUGCCUCGCGUAAAAGGCAUGCUGGAUAAGAUUGGAGCAGAGAUCACCGGCUUCUCCAAGAUGUUCCCAGUGGAAGCCUCUCUAGCCAACUUCACUAUUUUCCUCAACGAAAGACAGAGGAGCAUCGAGGCCCUUUACCCACAGAUGGACCAGAUGGAUUUCUACAGGUGGAUCGGAUGUGUCGGGGUGCUCUGCAUGGUCGUCCUGGUCCUGGCCUUCAACAUUCUCGGUCUGCUGUGCGGCACCUGUGGCUACGACAAGCAAGCUACGCCCACAACCCGCGGCUGCAUGUCAAACACCGGAGGAAACCUGCUGAUGGCUGGGGUGGGCUUCUCAUUUCUCUUCGCCUGGGUGCUGAUGGCGUUAGUCACUACUCUGUUUGUGGUUGGCGGCAACGUGGAGAAGCUGAUGUGUGAACCUCUGGCAAACCGACAGCUGUUCAAGAUCAUAGACACACCGUUUCUGGUCCAUCCCGAAAAAAAGAACUUCCUUCCUGGGAUGCUGUUUCAGAAUCCAAACAUUGACCUGACUUUGGGGAGCAUGUAUAGGGACUGCUAUGAGAACAACGGUCUGUAUCACGCUCUGCAGCUGGAAACCAUGUUCAACAUUAAUUCUUUCCUCAACAGAACUGUGUACAACAAGGAUCUGGCCAAAGUGUUGGAAAGUGUGCAGGUGGAUCUGCAGGACAUCACCCUGCUGGAGCAGAGUGGCAGAGACAACCUCAUCAGCUUCGCCAACUCUGGAAUUGGACAGAUUGACUAUAAUGCUUAUCUUGCUGAGGUAAAUAAGGGAGUCACUCUUGUAGAUCUUCUGUCCUUCUCUACUAACCUGGAAGAUCAGGCCGACCAGCUGCCACGUGGUGCUCUGGAGAACGCACUGAAGGGUCACGCCAGCAGCAUCAGAAACAUUCACAGAGAACAGGUUGUGCCCAUGGAGCAAGCAAUGAAAUAUGUCAAAGCGCGGAGCACGCUGAGCCAGAGCAUCAAACAACUUCAGAGGACUUCCGGUGAUCUGCCAGUGAAGGUCACUAAUGUCCUGAGUGCCAUCGAUGCAGCAGAGUACCUCAUCGUUCAUAACGCCUCCCAUGUGGUGAAGCAGGAAACACAGGGCUACACACAGACCUUAGCGGGAUACUUCAAACAGUACACGGAAUGGGUUAAAAACUCGCUAACUGCAGAGGUGGCCCAGUGUAAACCCAUCAGCAACAUUGUGGACAGCAUGGAGAUAGUAGCAUGCAGCUUCAUCCUCGACUCCGUGAACACGUUCUGGUUCGGUCUGGGAGCUUGCUGCAUCUUUCUGAUCCCCAGCAUCAUCUUCUCUGUCAAACUGGCCAAGUAUUACAGAAGGAUGGACACAGAGGACGUCUUUGAAGACUCUCCCUACUCUGACACUCUGACCCGGUUCCCUCGGGCCUCAGCUCCCCCAAUGUGCUCUGAAUGGUGACUCACAGGACGUUUUCCCCGACGACAAGUGGCCAGGAGAACUGGAACUGAUCUUCCCUUCAUGGAUCACUGGACUUUUCAGCUUUUCAGAGUCAGGUCUGACACUUCCGAGGACAAAAGGGAAGGAAAAAGAACAAUCAGGAGCUGUGUGGUGAGGGCAUCUCACCUCCCAGACCUCAUUCAGGCCAUUCGACCUCUGACCUCUGAUGCCAGCCAACUGUACACCUAUGAAGUGUUCUCUCAUUCACAGCAGCAUCCAGUCAUUGCAGUCCCUCUAGCUUUUCAUUCUGUUCAAUCAACUGACUGAGCAUUAUUUCUGCAUAGUUAGUUUUACCUGUAGAGGAUGAAUUUGUACCUACAUUAUCAGUUUUAACACGGUGACUCAAGUGUACAUUUUUUACGCUUUCAAAACUUUUGAAAGUUUUAUAUAUUUUUAUUAAUCUUUGUUUUAUAACAUGUAAGUUAUAGUUUUUGUAGUAGUAGUAGCGCAUCAUUUUUUUUUCUCUCUUUGAAUAUUUUUAAAAAUGGCUUGCGUCAUUUUGGUUCAACAGAUUGCACUGACCAGGCAGACUUCAAAGUAAUGGUUUAACAUUUUGGAAGCACGAAGAUACCACUGUGAAAUAUGUACCAUGUUGGAUAAAUACAAGCAGCUAAUUAGCUUAGCUUAGCUUAGCAAAGAGACAAAACUAAGUGAAACAGUCUCACUCACUGUGCUUUAAGCUACUGCAAAUGCUAAUGUAUGCUAACUCGCUCACAAUGACGAUGCUAACAUGCUGGUUUAAUGUCUACGUCUUUCUUUAGCAUGCUGUUUAACAUACUGCUAAUUAGCACAGUAUGUUGUAAACCAACCUAGUGAGCAGCUUGGUGAAAUGACUCAAUAUUGGCGCCGCAAAAAGUCUGAUGAUUAAAACAGUUUUUUAUCCUCUAAGCACUGUGAA
RNA transcript from Mugil cephalus (flathead mullet), 3898 nucleotides. It is a transcript of the gene named prominin 1 b, with no coding region annotated. The transcript has 29 exons. Lineage: Eukaryota; Metazoa; Chordata; Actinopteri; Mugiliformes; Mugilidae. The record is from RefSeq and is a predicted model, not a curated record.